AGAGCGAACGCUGGCGGCAUGCCUAAUACAUGCAAGUCGAACGAACACUUCGGUGUUAGUGGCGCACGGGUGCGUAACGCGUGGGAAUCUGCCCUUGGGUUCGGAAUAACAGUUGGAAACGACUGCUAAUACCGGAUGAUAUCGAAAGAUCAAAGAUUUAUCGCCCAGGGAUGAGCCCGCGUAGGAUUAGCUAGUUGGUGAGGUAAAGGCUCACCAAGGCGACGAUCCUUAGCUGGUCUGAGAGGAUGAUCAGCCACACUGGGACUGAGACACGGUCCAGACUCCUACGGGAGGCAGCAGUGGGGAAUAUUAGGACAAUGGGACGAAAGCCUGAUCCAGCCAUCGCCGCGUGGUGUGGAAGAAGGUCUUCGGAUUGAAAAGCACGUUUUAAGUU
Molecule: ribosomal RNA, 394 nt
Filed under: uncultured soil bacterium
Lineage: Bacteria
Description: bacterial SSU rRNA
Rfam family: Bacterial small subunit ribosomal RNA
Source: RNAcentral